AUACGGAAGGUCCAGGCGUUAUCCGGAUUUAUUGGGUUUAAAGGGAGCGUAGGCCGUCUGUUAAGCGUGUUGUGAAAUGUAGAUGCUCAACAUCUGAAUUGCAGCGCGAACUGGCAGACUUGAGUGUGCGCAACGUAGGCGGAAUUCGUGGUGUAGCGGUGAAAUGCUUAGAUAUCACGAAGAACUCCAAUUGCGAAGGCAGCUUACCGGGGUACAACUGACGCUGAGGCACGAAAGUGUGGGUAUC
Molecule: ribosomal RNA, 247 nt
Filed under: uncultured bacterium
Lineage: Bacteria
Description: partial 16S ribosomal RNA
Rfam family: Bacterial small subunit ribosomal RNA
Source: RNAcentral